AUGGACAAGGGUCACCCAGGGUACUCCAAGUACAUGAUCGACGCUAAGCUCCAGGAGCAGGGGUUCUUUGCUUCCCAGCACUGCGCCAACUGCGGCCAUGAGCUCCACCACAAGCCGAAGGACAUGGUUGGGUUUCCUGCCGGUGUCAAAUUCGAUCCGACGGACCAGGAGCUGAUUGAGCACCUUGAGUCCAAGGUGAUGAAGAGAGCUCACUCCCUCAUCGAUGACUUCAUACCCACCAUUGAGGGAGAAGAUGGCAUUUGCUACACCCAUCCAGAGAAACUCCCAGGUGUGACCAGAAAUGGCCAGAGCAAACACUUUUUCCACAGACCAUCAAAGGCCUACACCACAGGCACGAGGAAGAGGAGAAAGAUCCACGCAGAGACUGAGUUAUCCAACAGUAAAAAUGGUGCCGAGACGCGGUGGCACAAGACUGGCAAGACACGGCCGCUGAUGGUGGGCGGACAGCACAAGGGGUGCAAGAAGAUCCUAGUCUUGUACAUCAACUUCGGCAAGACACGAAAGGCAGAGAAGACUAAUUGGGUGAUGCACCAGUACCACCUCGGCGACCUAGAGGACGAGAAGGAAGGGGAGUUGAUUGUAUCAAAGGUCUUCUAUCAGACACAGCCACGGCAGACUGCCGCUGCCACAACAUCGACAGUAUUGCGUGAGCCUUCAACUAACGGCAAUAUGGAGGUAAAGAUGCCAAAGUCAAUGAAGAUUGGGCUCACUGAUCAUGCGGUUGCCGCUGCGGCUGCCAUCCAGAUGCAGCGACAGCAGCAGCAAUUGCUGAAGCAAGGUGAUGAGAUGAAAAAGGGAAAGGAGGGGCAGGACCAGCUGCAGCAGAAAUUUGACCACAGGCCUGCUGGCUUGGAAGGACUAAUAAUGGCCUGCAAAUCAGCAAGUACAAAAGAAGGAACUUCAACUACUCAGCCCGAAGAUGAGCAAUGGCCUUACCAGUACUAG
RNAcentral lists this ribosomal RNA (966 nucleotides) under Triticum aestivum (bread wheat). RNAcentral's name for it is "partial small subunit ribosomal RNA". The record is from RNAcentral. Lineage: Eukaryota; Viridiplantae; Streptophyta; Magnoliopsida; Poales; Poaceae.